AUUGAACGCUGGCGGCAGGCCUAACACAUGCAAGUCGAACGAGUGGCGGACGGGUGAGUAAUGUCUGGGAAACUGCCCGAUGGAGGGGGAUAACUACUGGAAACGGUAGAUAAUACCGCAUACCAUGGGAUGUGCCGAGGUGGGAUUAGCUAGUGGGUGGGGUAACGGCUCACCUAGGCGACGAGCCCUAGCUGGCCUGAGAGGGUGACCAGCCACACUGGAACUGAGACACGGCCCAGACUCCUACGGGAGGCAGCAGUGGGGAAUAUUGCACAAUGGGCGCAAGCCUGAUGCAGCCAUGCCGCGUGUAUGAAGAAGGCCUUCGGGUUGUAAAGUACUUUCAGCGGGGAGGCGUUACCCGCAGAAGAAGCAACGGCUAACUCCGUGCCAGCAGCCGCGGUAAUUC
RNAcentral lists this ribosomal RNA (406 nucleotides) under uncultured bacterium. Its description in RNAcentral is "partial 16S ribosomal RNA". It matches the Rfam family "Bacterial small subunit ribosomal RNA", at positions 29 to 526 of the family's 1533-position model. The record is from RNAcentral.